ACGUCUGGUUGAUUCGUCCCAGCGUGGCUAAGGGACGGACAUAAUGAGAAGGAACUGAGCAGAAAAAUGUCUGGUUGGGUGGCGAAGC
This 88-nucleotide non-coding RNA is filed under the name unclassified sequences. RNAcentral's name for it is "RAGATH-28 RNA". It matches the Rfam family "RAGATH-28 RNA". From Rfam's summary of the family: Clostridiales (Firmicutes). Nearby to self-cleaving ribozyme genes The record is from Rfam by way of RNAcentral.